This 497-nucleotide ribosomal RNA is filed under the name uncultured bacterium. RNAcentral describes it as "partial 16S ribosomal RNA". It matches the Rfam family "Bacterial small subunit ribosomal RNA", at positions 28 to 507 of the family's 1533-position model. The record is from RNAcentral.
GACGAACGCUGGCGGCGUGCCUAAUACAUGCAAGUUGAGCGAUGAAGAUUGGUGCUUGCACCAAUUUGAAGAGCAGCGAACGGGUGAGUAACGCGUGGGGAAUCUGCCUUUGAGCGGGGGACAACAUUUGGAAACGAAUGCUAAUACCGCAUAACAACUUUAAACAUAAGUUUUAAGUUUGAAAGAUGCAAUUGCAUCACUCAAAGAUGAUCCCGCGUUGUAUUAGCUAGUUGGUGAGGUAAAGGCUCACCAAGGCGAUGAUACAUAGCCGACCUGAGAGGGUGAUCGGCCACAUUGGGACUGAGACACGGCCCAAACUCCUACGGGAGGCAGCAGUAGGGGAUCUUCGGCAAUGGAGGAAAGUCUGGCCGAGCAACGCCGCGUGAGUGAAGAAGGGUUUCGGAUCGUAAAACUCUGUUGGUUGGGAAGAACGUUGGUGAGAGUGGAAAGCUCAUCAAGUGACGGUAACUAACCAGAAAGGGACGGCUAACUACGUG